GGAACAACCCACCAUGGACGAGACUGUGCAGACCCACAGAGGUGAGGCUGCAGGCAGGUGGUCUGCUUUGCCUAUGCAUAGAUCUGGUCCAGCAAAGAAAAUAUUCCCCAUAGGCAUCGGCCUGUUGGCCUGUUUCUGCCUUUUGGAAGGUAAAGAGGGGAGCUUCAUUUAAAGAGGCUGUAAGAACAUGGAAACUGCUCUAUCGUGUAGAGAGGGGAAGAGCUAAAUUCAGGUGAAAAAGAAUUAUUUCAGUCUUCCCUGGGAUGGGUAGGUAAGUACGAAAAGAUGUUUCCCCUUCUUUCCACUUUCACCCAAAGUUAUUAAUUCCUUCCUAACUCUUGCCUGCCACAUAGUUCUGUGUGGGCCAGUGGAGGCAAUGCUGAGUUAAGCCAAUUUCUAUGGAGGAUGAAUGAAUGCCUGGGAAAGAGACGGGUGGAAAAUAUAGAGCUAGCACGAUACAAGAGACUGAAAAAAGGUUAUUUCCUCGUUUUGUCAUGAAGUUCCAGGAAAUUUGUCUCAUGAGGAUUAGAAGUGCUGCCAUCUGCAAUACAGACAUUUCUAUCAGCGGAUAUGACCAGGAAAACCUACUGUUUCUUUCAUGUACCUGUGAGUUUCAUGACAGGGCUGGAUCUUCAGGGGGGACACCUGAUCAGGGAUCCCAUAAAGCUCUAGCAAGGACCACAGCUGUGAGGGAGGACAUGCUGCACCACCGCGUACAUCGUGCCCUGCAAGGGAACCCGCGUGCCAGCCAGGAACCUACUGAAGACUACUUUGAAGUUAAGUCCUGGUUUUUUUUUGUCCUUAUUUCAUGUCUCAGGAUGAUCUCAGUCUUAAGGUGUUUUUUUUUUUGUUUUGUUUUGUUUUUUUUAAGGUUGCUUAAAUGA
Molecule: long non-coding RNA, 884 nt
Filed under: Cairina moschata (Muscovy duck)
Lineage: Eukaryota; Metazoa; Chordata; Aves; Anseriformes; Anatidae
Description: domestica (muscovy Duck (domestic type)) lncRNA (ENSCMMG00000002549.1)
Source: RNAcentral